UUCAGGGGUAAACCUGAGAAACCCGAAAGGUCGAAAGGGGAGAUUCAGCGUGUCUCGAUCGUAGCGCUGGACGGUCGUGCGACGGACGGCGUACGCGUCGUCCGCGCCUUUCGUUCUCCGAACUGCGGUCGAACGCGUGCACUUCUCCUCCUGUAGGACGUCGCGAUUCGUUGGGUGCCGGUCUAAGGCCCGAGGUGGAGUCCGUCGGAACGUUUCGGCGUUUCUGGCGAACCCUCGGUGUUUCCCGGUCGGCUCGCUCGACGAUAUACAGAUGGCGCGGGGCCGCUAUUUAGUUAGCGUUCGACCUUCGGCAAGCGCGUCCGUCGUGACGGUGAUCGGACCUGGUGCCGGUCCCGUUCCCGGACGGCUGUUCGCUGAGGUGUUCUCGAACAGACCUCGUUGAAACGCCGAUCUGCGACGCUAUAGCUUUGGGUACUUUCAGGACCCGUCUUG
RNAcentral lists this ribosomal RNA (453 nucleotides) under Oodescelis affinis. RNAcentral's name for it is "partial 28S ribosomal RNA". Lineage: Eukaryota; Metazoa; Arthropoda; Insecta; Coleoptera; Tenebrionidae. The record is from RNAcentral.